AAUCUUCCACAAUGGGCGAAAGCCUGAUGGAGCAACGCCGCGUGAGGGAAGAAGGUUUUCGGAUCGUAAAACACUGUUGUAAGAGAAGAAUGACAUUGAGAGUAACUGUUCAAUGUGUGACGGUAUCUUACCAGAAAGGAACGGCUAAAUACGUGCCAGCAGCCGCGGUAAUACGUAUGUUCCAAGCGUUAUCCGGAUUUAUUGGGCGUAAAGCGAGCGCAGACGGUUAUUUAAGUCUGAAGUGAAAGCCCUCAGCUCAACUGAAGAAUUGCUUUGGAAACUGGAUGACUUGAGUGCAGUAGAGGAAAGUGGAACUCCAUGUGUAGCGGUGAAAUGCGUAGAUAUAUGGAAGAACACCAGUGGCGAAGGCGGCUUUCUGGACUGUAACUGACGUUGAGGCUCGAAAGUGUGGGUAGCAAACA
RNAcentral lists this ribosomal RNA (422 nucleotides) under uncultured bacterium. Its description in RNAcentral is "partial 16S ribosomal RNA". It matches the Rfam family "Bacterial small subunit ribosomal RNA", at positions 360 to 774 of the family's 1533-position model. The record is from RNAcentral.